UGGCGGACGGGUGAGUAAUGUCUGGGAAACUGCCCGAUGGAGGGGGAUAACUACUGGAAACGGUAGCUAAUACCGCAUAACGUCGCAAGACCAAAGAGGGGGACCUUCGGGCCUCUUGCCAUCGGAUGUGCCCAGAUGGGAUUAGCUAGUAGGUGGGGUAAAGGCUCACCUAGGCGACGAUCCCUAGCUGGUCUGAGAGGAUGACCAGCCACACUGAAACUGAGACACGGUCCAG
RNAcentral lists this ribosomal RNA (235 nucleotides) under uncultured bacterium. Its description in RNAcentral is "partial 16S ribosomal RNA". It matches the Rfam family "Bacterial small subunit ribosomal RNA", at positions 96 to 334 of the family's 1533-position model. The record is from RNAcentral.